This 120-nucleotide ribosomal RNA is filed under the name uncultured Thermotogae bacterium. Its description in RNAcentral is "partial 16S ribosomal RNA". It matches the Rfam family "Bacterial small subunit ribosomal RNA", at positions 388 to 524 of the family's 1533-position model. The record is from RNAcentral. Lineage: Bacteria; Thermotogati; Thermotogota; Thermotogae.
UCAGCGACGCCGCGUGGAGGACGAAGCCCUUCGGGGUGUAAACUCCUUUUCUCAGGGAAAAAAGAUGAUGGUACCUGAGGAAUAAGCCCCGGCUAACUACGUGCCAGCAGCCGCGGUAAA